GAUCCUGACUCAGGAUAAACGCUGGCGGCGCACAUAAGACAUGCAAGUCGAACGGACUUAACCGUUAGUUUACUAAUGGAGCGGUUAGUGGCGGACUGGUGAGUAACACGUAAGCAACCUGCCUAUCAGAGGGGAACAACAGUUAGAAAUGACUGCUAAUACCGCAUAUGCCUUAGCAACACAUGUUGCAAAAGGGAAGGAGCAAUCCACUGAUAGAUGGGCUUGGCGU
This 229-nucleotide ribosomal RNA is filed under the name uncultured bacterium. RNAcentral describes it as "partial 16S ribosomal RNA". It matches the Rfam family "Bacterial small subunit ribosomal RNA", at positions 15 to 236 of the family's 1533-position model. The record is from RNAcentral.